This 384-nucleotide ribosomal RNA is filed under the name uncultured bacterium. RNAcentral describes it as "bacterial SSU rRNA". It matches the Rfam family "Bacterial small subunit ribosomal RNA", at positions 31 to 415 of the family's 1533-position model. The record is from RNAcentral.
GAACGCUGGCGGCGUGCUUAACACAUGCAAGUCGAACGGUGAAGAAGAGCUUGCUCUUUGGAUCAGUGGCGAACGGGUGAGUAACACGUGAGUAACCUGCCCUUGACUCUGGGAUAACUGCUAGAAAUGGUAGCUAAUACCGGAUACGACCCUCGGCCGCAUGGUCAGGGGGUGGAAAGAAUUUUGGUCAAGGAUGGACUCGCGGCCUAUCAGGUAGUUGGUGAGGUAAUGGCUCACCAAGCCUACGACGGGUAGCCGGCCUGAGAGGGUGACCGGCCACACUGGGACUGAGACACGGCCCAGACUCCUACGGGAGGCAGCAGUGGGGAAUAUUGCACAAUGGGCGAAAGCCUGAUGCAGCAACGCCGCGUGAGGGACGACGGC